Medicago truncatula (barrel medic) is the source of this 1215-nucleotide long non-coding RNA. RefSeq lists it as uncharacterized. The record is from RefSeq and is a predicted model, not a curated record. NCBI's taxonomy places the organism in Eukaryota, Viridiplantae, Streptophyta, Magnoliopsida, Fabales, Fabaceae. The transcript is spliced from 4 exons.
UCCAAAUAUUAAAUGUCCUCUAAAAAAUGUUCAAUAGACCACUUCUUUCAUUAGCUCAAACGUCCCGUAAAAAAAAUUAAAAAAUGCUCCUCUCAGGUUGUAAUUCCUGACUGACCGCACUCAUAAUUCAUAUUAGCAAGGAUCGAGAAGACUUACAAAACGAUAUGUCCAGGGGUUUGGACCCAAACUGUUCUUACACCGGGCUGAAACAUAAUUAGCAGGACCAUCAAUCAUAAUUCAACAACAAAAACCAACAAUCAAUAAAAUAACUCUUACAAAAGAAAAUAGUCUCUCUCUUUACUGUUUGUUGAUUGGUGGAUUGAUUUCUCAUCUCAAGUAUCAAAACCUCACUGAUAUCACUUUGGUUCUGAUUUUGAAUAUGAGAUGGAAAAAUCCAUUGAUUGUUUCAUGUAACUCUGAUUUGGUUCAUGGUAGAUAGAUAUGGAGGAUUAAGUCCCAACCUUUUUGAAUCCUGAUCAACCAAAAUCUGUUCAAAUUUUGCUGAUUGAUGAGAAAGUAUUUUCAGGCUUUUAAAACUUUGCAUAUGACAGGUGGAGCAGUUCCUAAAAGCAUUCAAGUUGAAGAAUAUUUAUUUUGGUGUAUUUUUGUCAACUUAUGAAUUUAUAGGUAUAAAAUGACAUGUUUAAUUCCUCAUACUACAAACAAAAAUAAGAUUCCAAUUAUGAAUUUCAGAAGUCUACUGGACCAUCAUCGCAACGAAUGCAAUGAGACUUUGGGAUGAUGGGUUUGAUCUAGCCUCUCAACUAAGAACUGUUGGAACUCUUUACGCUCGGUAGCAACAACUUUGAAGCGUGUCAACUUAGGCAACAUCUCUCAUAACAUACUUCACUUGACAAUCAAUAGGUUUAAAAAGGAAAUGGAGGGAAGUUGACAUGAAUAAACAACAAAGGUCAUGUAGGGUAAUGGAUUGGUAAUGGACACAACGCUCGAGAAAAUUUUGUAUUGAUAAUGGAUUUGCUGAUGGAGUGGUUUGUGAUGUUUAGUAUUGUUCUACUUAAAAACAAAAAGAGUGUGUUGAUUUCGGUUUGAUCUGUUAUCUUCGUAUUCAUAUCUUUUGAUUGGUAGGAAGGCUACUUGGUUGUAAUUUUAUCUUAUGGCAUAUGUAGUUUCUGUUUAAUUUAUUGUUUUAAUCGUAUUCUUGAAUCCCGUUGUAUUACGUUUCCUCAAUAUUAUUGUAUACCGUUUUAUUCAAAA